RNAcentral lists this ribosomal RNA (460 nucleotides) under uncultured bacterium. Its description in RNAcentral is "partial 16S ribosomal RNA". It matches the Rfam family "Bacterial small subunit ribosomal RNA", at positions 338 to 795 of the family's 1533-position model. The record is from RNAcentral.
CCUACGGGUGGCUGCAGUGAGGAAUAUUGGUCAAUGGACGCAAGUCUGAACCAGCCAUGCCGCGUGCAGGAAGACGGCUCUAUGAGUUGUAAACUGCUUCUGUCCGAGGGCAAAUGCAGAUACGUGUAUCUGACUGAAAGUAUCGUAAGAAUAAGGAUGGGCUAACUCCGUGCCAGCAGCCGCGGGAAUACGGAGGAAUUAAGCGUUAUCGGGGUGUAUUGGGGUUAAAGGGUGCGUAGGCGGUCGGAUAAGUUAGAGGUGAAAGCCCGAGGCUCAACUUCGGAAUUGCCUUUGAUACUGUGCGACUAGAGUGUAGGAGCGGUAGGCGGAAUGUAUGGUGUAGCGGUGAAAUGCUUAGAGAUCAUACAGAACACCGAUUGCGAAGGCAGCUUACCGGGCUACUUCUGACGUUGAGGCACGAAAGCGUGGGGAGCAAACAGGAUUAGAGACCCCGGUAGUC